Molecule: non-coding RNA, 73 nt
Organism: Perkinsus olseni
Lineage: Eukaryota; Perkinsozoa; Perkinsida; Perkinsidae
Source: the annotation of a GenBank genome assembly
GCCUCGGUAGAUCAGUCGGCCGAGCGCGUGCUUUCUAAGCCCGUGGCCGUGGGUUCGAGCCACGCUCUAGGUG